CCGGCGACCGGCGCACGGGUGAGUAACACGUAUGCAACCUGCCCUCUUCAGGGGGACAACCUUCCGAAAGGGAGGCUAAUCCCGCGUAUAUCGGUUUCGGGCAUCCGAGAUCGAGGAAAGAUUCAUCGGAAGAGGAUGGGCAUGCGGCGCAUUAGCUAGACGGCGGGGUAACGGCCCACCGUGCCGACGAUGCGUAGGGGUUCUGAGAGGAAGGUCCCCCACACUGGUACUGAGACACGGACCAGACUCCUACGGAAGGCAGCAG
RNAcentral lists this ribosomal RNA (265 nucleotides) under uncultured bacterium. RNAcentral's name for it is "partial 16S ribosomal RNA". It matches the Rfam family "Bacterial small subunit ribosomal RNA", at positions 88 to 354 of the family's 1533-position model. The record is from RNAcentral.